UAAAAGCUUGGUCCCGACUUUAUUAUCAGCUUUAGCUCAACUUAUACAUGCAAGUAUCCGCACCCCUGUGAAAAUGCCCUCAAUCUCCUGCCCGGGGACGAGGAGCUGGCAUCAGGCACACCUUACACUAGCCCAAGACGCCUUGCUAAGCCACACCCCCAAGGGAACUCAGCAGUAAUAAACAUUAAGCUAUAAGUGAAAACUUGACUUAAUUAGAGCUCAUUAGGGUUGGUAAAAUUCGUGCCAGCAACCGCGGUUACACGAUGGACCCUAGUUGAUAAACACGGCGUAAAGGGUGGUUAGGGUAAAAAAUAAAUAAAGUCAAACACCCUCUUGACCGUUAAAAGUGUUUUCGAGGCCGCGAAGCCCCACUACGAAAGUGACUUUACCACCUCCCGACCCCACGAAAGCUAAGAAACAAACUGGGAUCAGAUACCCCAUUAUGCUUAGCCUUAAACCCAGAUGUUUUUUAUACAAGAAACAUCCGCCAGGGUACUACAAGCGCUAGCUUAAAACCCAAAGGACUUGACGGUGUCUUAGUCCCACCUAGAGGAGCCUGUUCUAGAACCGAUGAUCCACGUUUAACCUCACCACCCCUUGUUAUCCCAGCCUAUAUACCGCCGUCGCAAGCUUACCCUGUGAAGGAUAAACAGUAAGCAUAAUGGGGUUUCCCCAGAACGUCAGGUCGAGGUGUAGCUUAUGAGGUGGGAAGAAAUGGGCUACAUUCUCUAUUUUAGAGUACACGAACGGCACUAUGAAAUUAGUACCUGAAGGUGGAUUUAGCAGUAAAAAUCAAAUAGAGAGUCAUUUUGAAGCAGGCUCUGAGACGCGCACACACCGCCCGUCGCUCUCCCCAACAAAACUAAAUUAAGUAAAUAACUAAAUAACUAAUAAAACGGGGAGAUAAGUCGUAACAUGGUAAGUGUACCGGAAGGUGUACUUGGAACAUC
This 950-nucleotide non-coding RNA is filed under the name Hyphessobrycon flammeus. RNAcentral describes it as "12S ribosomal RNA". It matches the Rfam family "Bacterial small subunit ribosomal RNA". The record is from RNAcentral. Lineage: Eukaryota; Metazoa; Chordata; Actinopteri; Characiformes; Acestrorhamphidae.